CGUCACUUUAAGAGAUGGCACGAGCUGCCACCGACCUACUGCUCCGAUGUCAACAGUUCGUUUGCCUACGUUCCUCCAGGAGGAGACUCUAACACGCUGUCUCCAGACAUACGGGUCUCGUCGUUUUCUGGAAACACGUGGAAGCCGUGGAUGCUAGCAGUUUGUGAAAAGGAGCGGAAGGUUUUGUGCAUGGGAGGUGGACAGGUUAUCCCGCAUCUUGAAAAGUGGGUUGCUAUUUAUGACAAGCACGUCCUACCCCUUCUCUCCCUCGAAACCGUUAGG
Molecule: long non-coding RNA, 282 nt
Organism: Priapulus caudatus
Lineage: Eukaryota; Metazoa; Priapulida; Priapulimorpha; Priapulimorphida; Priapulidae
Exons: 3
Source: RefSeq, a predicted model, not a curated record